AUGAACGCUAGCGACAGGCCUAACACAUGCAAGUCGAGGGGCAGCACAAGGAGCAAUCUGAGGUGGCGACCGGCGCACGGGUGAGUAACACGUAUGCAACCUGCCUGUAAGCGGGGAAUAACCCGUUGAAAGACGGACUAAUACCGCAUAAUACUAAAUUACUGCAUGGUAAUUUAUUUAAACAUUUAUGGCUUACAGAUGGGCAUGCGCAUGAUUAGCUAGUUGGAGAGGUAACGGCUCCCCAAGGCAACGAUCAUUAGGGGUUCUGAGAGGAAGGUCCCCACACUGGUACUGAGACACGGACCAGACUCCUACGGGAGGCAGCAGUGAGGAAUAUUGGUCAAUGGACGAGAGUCUGAACCAGCCAAGUCGCGUGCAGGAAGAAUGUCCUAAUGGAUUGUAAACUGCUUUUGCAGUGGAAUAAAGUGCAUCACGUGUGAUGUUUUGUAUGUACUCUGCGAAUAAGGAUCGGCCAACUCCGUGCCAGCAGCCGC
This 494-nucleotide ribosomal RNA is filed under the name uncultured bacterium. RNAcentral describes it as "bacterial SSU rRNA". It matches the Rfam family "Bacterial small subunit ribosomal RNA", at positions 29 to 518 of the family's 1533-position model. The record is from RNAcentral.